RNA transcript from Cercocebus atys (sooty mangabey), 2160 nucleotides. It is a transcript of the gene named LETM1 domain containing 1, with no coding region annotated. Lineage: Eukaryota; Metazoa; Chordata; Mammalia; Primates; Cercopithecidae. The record is from RefSeq and is a predicted model, not a curated record. The transcript has 9 exons.
GUUAACUUUGACCCAAAGACAACCUCUUCUCUUCCGCUUCCCUUGCUGUGAAGAUGGCGCUCUCCAGGGUGUGCUGGGCUCGGUCGGCUGUGUGGGGCUCGGCAGUCACCCCUGGACAUUUUUUCACCCGGAGGCUGCAACUUGGUCGCUCUGGCCUGGCUUGGGGGGCCCCUCGGUCUUCAAAGCUUCACCUUUCUCCAAAAGCAGAUGUGAAGAACUUGAUGUCUUACGUGGUAACCAAGACAAAAGCAAUUAAUGGGAAAUACCAUCGUUUCUUGGGUCGUCAUUUCCCCCGCUUCUAUGUCCUGUACACAAUCUUCAUGAAAGGAUUGCAGAUGUUAUGGGCUGAUGCCAAAAAGGCUAGAAGAAUAAAGACAAAUAUGUGGAAGCACAAUAUAAAGUUUCAUCAACUUCCAUACCGGGAGAUGGAGCAUUUGAGACAGUUCCGCCAAGACGUCACCAAGUGUCUUUUCCUAGGUAUUAUUUCCAUUCCACCUUUUGCCAACUACCUGGUCUUCUUGCUAAUGUACCUGUUUCCCAGGCAACUACUGAUCAGGCAUUUCUGGACCCCAAAACAACAAACUGAUUUCUUAGAUAUCUAUCAUGCUUUCCGGAAGCAAUCCCACCCAGAAAUUAUUAGUUAUUUAGAAAAGGUCAUCCCUCUCGUUUCCGAUGCAGGACUCCGGUGGCAUCUGACAGAUCUGUGCACCAAGAUACAGCGUGGUACCCACCCAGCAAUACAUGAUAUCUUGGCUUUGAGAGAGUGUUUCUCUAACCAUCCUCUGGGCGUGAACCAACUCCAGGCUUUGCACGUGAAAGCCUUGAGCCGGGCCAUGCUUCUCACAUCUUACCUGCCUCCUCCCUUGUUGAGACAUCGUUUGAAGACUCGUACAACUGUGAUUCACCAACUGGACAAGGCUUUGGCAAAGCUGGGGAUUGGCCAGCUGACUGCUCAGGAAGUAAAAUCGACCAUUUCUCUUCUGAGCGGUAUAGGCUUGUUAUCUCCGUGGCCUGAAUUCUACACAUAUUGGUGAAGAUAGGUGUCGAACUUGGCUGGGAGAAUGGCUGCAGAUUUCCUGCAGCCUGAAAGAAACUGAGCUGUCUCUCUUACUGCACAACGUGGUCCUGCUCUCCACCAACUACCUUGGGACAAGGCGCUGAGUGAACCAUGGAGCGGAUGGCGUUGUCCUGCAGUCGCAUAGUACAGCAGUGCAGGAACAAACAGCACUUGCCAGCGAAGUCUGUGUGCACUGUUAAGUGUGUGGGAGGGAGAGAGAGAGAGGAGCAGGGGCCAUGGGCUUCACAGCAUGGCACACGUGGGAACUGCAGACAUUCCCUUCACAGCUAGAACUGAAACAAACCCUCUUGCCAGGGGUGGCCCAUGUGAGGUGUCAUCCCGUCCCCCUCAUAAUUACUAAUAGCUGGAACUGGCAGCAGCCUUUACUGGGCUUUUACUGUGAUGUGUUCAGUUCAUGUCCUGGGAAGUCCGCUUUUGCCCCAAGUGGGAAUCCUUAUUUGGCUAAGGACUGAUCCACUUCCAUGUCACUUACAUCUGUGGGUUUUUGUUGUUGCUGGUAGAGAAUUUGUGGCUGGCGAGAACAGCAUUUCUUUGGCCAGAGCACUCGUGUCCAUGCAUGUACUUCAGUGUUUCCCUCCGUCCUUUCUGAUAUGACCAAAAAUCCAGUUGUUCUUUGUCCCCCUCACUGGCAUGGGCUAACCACUUGUUUUUCAAACCCUUUGAACACCUUGACUUUUUUUUGAUGGGUAACUUGCAGGAAUAUUCUAUUGGAAAAGAUAACAGGAAGUACAAGUGGUUCUUGACCCCUUCCUCAAUGUUUCUAGCCUUCACUCUCCAUUGUCUUUUCCGGGCUGUAUUACACCCCCUGUGGAUCUUCAGCGCUUUGCUGCCUCCACUGUGAUGCAGCAAUCCAACUGUAACUGACAGUGGCUGCCUUCUUUGGGCCAUGGAUCACACCUGUAAGGUACUAAUUAUUGCCCAGCCUGGGGAGAUCAGAAGAGGUCUGCAUCGAGUUAGUAAGUUGAGUUUAGCUUUUGUGUGUCCAUCAGUGACUUAUAGUUCUGUAAUAACGUACUGUAAAUGCAUGAAGCACUGUUUUUAAACCCAAGUAAAGACUGCUUGAAACCUGUUGAUGGAAAUGA